Molecule: long non-coding RNA, 529 nt
Organism: Anthonomus grandis grandis
Lineage: Eukaryota; Metazoa; Arthropoda; Insecta; Coleoptera; Curculionidae
Exons: 3
Source: RefSeq, a predicted model, not a curated record
UGUUUACAUUAUUAUUUUCAGUUUUUUUUUUGACAUACUGCGAUAAAAAAAAAUGCUGCGCAAUUCAAAACGUGCGUUCCUAUUGCGACACCCUUUAGAUGAAUAGAUCCAGGGAAGGAUGUUAGAGGACAGAUCCUAGAUGUUGCCAAAAGCUCUCCUGCAGUCCCAUAGCACGCAGGUGGCCUUCCUAAUUCCCGAUUAGUACCAGGAGAGUUUGGAAUCCAAUGUAAUUCCCAGAAGUCGAACUGUCCUGGAGUAUUGCAAAUACACUCCACUCAAAGACACGCAGGUUUAACCUGUACCUUUGUCCACUAUACGCAGGGCCCUUAUUAUCGGCAUUCUUCUCAGCUGGGCAGAUACAUAAGGCGGCGAGAUCAUGGUUCUGAGCCGUGACACUCGAGGGCUUGGCAGAAUACUGCGAAGGGGCUGUUAUCAAAUUUAGAAAUUUCAGAAUGUAUAUAAAUUUAUUUAACAUAAGCACUAGAUUAACCAGAGAAAUUAAUAGCACUAACUUAUGACGACGCUAGUU